This 251-nucleotide ribosomal RNA is filed under the name uncultured bacterium. Its description in RNAcentral is "partial 16S ribosomal RNA". It matches the Rfam family "Bacterial small subunit ribosomal RNA", at positions 525 to 775 of the family's 1533-position model. The record is from RNAcentral.
ACGUAGGUGGCGAGCGUUGUCCGGAGUUACUGGGCGUAAAGGGUGCGUAGGCGGCUAUGCGAGUUAAGCGUGAAAGCCUUGGGCUCAACCUGAGGAUUGCGCUUAAUACUGUAUAGCUUGAGUGCAGGAGAGGGCGGCGGAAUUUCCGGUGUAGCGGUGAAAUGCGUAGAUAUUGGGAGGAACACCAGUGGCGAAGGCGGCCGUCUGGACUGUAACUGACGCUGAGGCACGAGAGCGUGGGGAGCGAACAG